AUACGGAGGGUGCAAGCGUUAUCCGGAUUCACUGGGUUUAAAGGGUGCGUAGGUGGGUUGGUAAGUCAGUGGUGAAAUCUCCGAGCUUAACUUGGAAACUGCCAUUGAUACUAUCAGUCUUGAAUACCGUGGAGGUCAGCGGAAUAUGUCAUGUAGCGGUGAAAUGCUUAGAUAUGACAUAGAACACCAAUUGCGAAGGCAGCUGGCUACACGAAUAUUGACACUGAGGCACGAAAGCGUGGGGAUCAAACAGGAUUAGAUACCCUGGUAGUCCACGCCCUAAACUAUGGAUACUCGACAUACGCGAUACACUGUGUGUGUCUGAGCGAAAGCAUUAAGUAUCCCACCUGGGAAGUACGAUCGCAAGAUUGAA
This 373-nucleotide ribosomal RNA is filed under the name uncultured bacterium. Its description in RNAcentral is "bacterial SSU rRNA". It matches the Rfam family "Bacterial small subunit ribosomal RNA", at positions 523 to 898 of the family's 1533-position model. The record is from RNAcentral.